This 499-nucleotide ribosomal RNA is filed under the name uncultured bacterium. Its description in RNAcentral is "partial 16S ribosomal RNA". It matches the Rfam family "Bacterial small subunit ribosomal RNA", at positions 28 to 507 of the family's 1533-position model. The record is from RNAcentral.
GAUGAACGCUGGCGGCGUGCCUAAUACAUGCAAGUCGAGCGAACAGACGAGAGUGCUUGCACUCUCUGACGUUAGCGGCGGACGGGUGAGUAACACGUGGGUAACCUACCUAUAAGACUGGGAUAACUUCGGGAAACCGGAGCUAAUACCGGAUAAUAUUUAGCUUCGCAUGACGCAAUAGUGAAAGACGUUUCUGCUGUCACUUAUAGAUGGACCCGCGGUGUAUUAGCUAGUUGGUGAGUUAACGGCUCACCAAGGCAACGAUACAUAGCCGACCUGAGAGGGUGAUCGGCCACACUGGGACUGAGGCACGGCCCAGACUCCUACGGGAGGCAGCAGUAGGGAAUCUUAAGCAAUGGACGAAAGUCUGACGGAGCAAUGCCGCGUGAGUGAAGAAGGGUUUCGGAUCGUAAAACGCUGUUGUAAGGGAAGAACAAGUACGUUAGUAACUGAACGUACCUUGACGGUACCUUACCAGAAAGCCACGGCUAACUACGUG